RNAcentral lists this long non-coding RNA (472 nucleotides) under Homo sapiens (human). Its description in RNAcentral is "HSALNT0000901". Lineage: Eukaryota; Metazoa; Chordata; Mammalia; Primates; Hominidae. The record is from RNAcentral.
AUUCCAAAACAACAGAACUAUAGUAUUCUAUAUACUCUAGAAAUAAAUUCUGUUUCGCUCUCAGCAUGUUCCUGCUUUUCUAAUAUUUGAAGAUACAUCACACCUGCAGAAUUAUGCACUCCAUUCUACCUUCAGGACAUCCUGCCAGCAUCUGCACUCAGCCACCAACUAGGAGACCCAGUGCCCAUCUCCUGCCAGAACUGCUGCUUUGGGCGGUCUUCUCAUUUGCUUCUCCUCAUUAUUUCUCCAUAGCCAAGAACUGGAAAGGCGAUACAUGGGAGAAGACUGCUGAAUCAGAGGACCCUGGGCCACUGAACCCCCAUAAGCUUCCCUGACAGCCAAAAGCCCACAUUCCCUCUCUCAUGGAGUGGACUCUUGCCUUCUUGAAGAUACUGUAAUUGUCUUGACCAACAACCACUGUGAGAGUCAGCCAGGCCCGAGUAUGCCCUUCUUUUCUCCAGACCUUUCACGA